This 23-nucleotide microRNA is filed under the name Gallus gallus (chicken). RNAcentral's name for it is "microRNA Ros-gga". The record is from RNAcentral. Lineage: Eukaryota; Metazoa; Chordata; Aves; Galliformes; Phasianidae.
CCGGCCCUAUCGAAGCUGCGCCU